This 419-nucleotide ribosomal RNA is filed under the name Anomaloglossus cf. baeobatrachus ABGD cluster 4. RNAcentral describes it as "partial large subunit ribosomal RNA". It matches the Rfam family "Bacterial large subunit ribosomal RNA", at positions 1819 to 2458 of the family's 2925-position model. The record is from RNAcentral. Lineage: Eukaryota; Metazoa; Chordata; Amphibia; Anura; Aromobatidae.
CCUCUUGAUUAAACCAUAAGAGGUCCAGCCUGCCCAGUGACAUUGUUCAACGGCCGCGGUAUCCUAACCGUGCGAAGGUAGCGUAAUCACUUGUCCUUUAAAUGAAGACUAGUAUGAAUGGCCCCACGAAAGCUAUACUGUCUCCUUUUUCUAAUCAGUUAAACUAAUCUCCCCGUGAAGAAGCGGGGAUAAACAUAUAAGACGAGAAGACCCUAUGGAGCUUUAAACAACUGAAACAUUUGUAUACCUCCCUUCACCUACCCACAUUUAACUCCACAUCUUGUUUCUAGUUUUAGGUUGGGGUGACCACGGAGAAAAAACUAACCUCCACGAUGAAAGAGACAUCUCUAAACAAAAAGCUACAUCUUUAUGUAUUAAUACAUUAACCUUUAUUGACCCAAUAAAUUGAUCAACGAACC